UUAAAUCAGUUAUGGUUCCUUGGAUCGUACCCCACUACUUGGAUAACUGUGGCAAUUCUAGAGCUAAUACAUGCAGCAGAGCUCCGACCUUCGGGGACGAGCGCUUUUAUUAGACCAAAACCAAUCGGGCCUCGUGUCCGUGAAACGUGGUGACUCUGUAUAACUUUGGGCUGAUCGCACGGGCUUGUCCCGGCGACGUAUCCUUCAAGUGUCGCCUUAUCAACUGUCGAUGGUAGGUUAUGCGCCUACCAUGGUCGUAACGGGUAACGGGGAAUCAGGGUUCGAUUCCGGAGAGGGCGCCUGAGAAACGGCGACCACAUCCAAGGAAGGCAGCAGGCGCGCAAAUUACCCACUCCCGGAACGGGGAGGUAGUGACGAAAAAUAACAAUACGGGACUCUUUUGAGACCCCGUAAUUGGAAUGAGUACACUCUAAAUCCUUUAACGAGGACCCACUAGAGGAAAAGUCAGGUGCCAGCACCCGCGGUAAUUCCUGUUCUAGUAGUGUAUAUUAAAGUUGUUGCGGUUAAAAAGCUCGUAGUUGGAUCUCAGUUCGAGUCGGGUGGUCCCCCAACCGGGGGUUACUGCCUGUUCUCAACACAGCCGGUUUCUCUAGAUGAUCUUCACCGGUUGUCUUGGGUGACCGGCAAGUUUACUUUGAAAAAAUUAGAGUGCUCAAAGCAGGCGCGACGCCCGAAUAAUGUUGCAUGGAAUAAUGAAAUAGGACCUCGGUUCUAUUUUGUUGGUUUUCGGAACAAGAGGUUAAAGGAAUUGACGGAGGGGCACCACCAGACGUGGAGCCUGCGGCUUAAUUUGACCAACACGGAAAACUCACCCGGCCCGGACACAGGAAGGAUUGACAGAUUGAGAGCUCUUUCUUGAUUCUGUGGAAGGUGGUGCAUGGCCGCUCUUAGUUGGUGGAGCGAUUUGUCUGGUUUAUUCCGAUAACGAACGAGCCCUAGCCUACUAAAUAGACGUCCCGAUUCUUCUCGGUCGGGCGGUCUUCUUAGAGGGAUAAGUGGCGUUUAGCCGCACGAGAGGGGCAAUAGCAGGUCAGUGAUGCCCUCAGAUGUCCGGGGCCGCACGCGCGCUACAUUGAAGGAAUCAGCGUGUGCUUUCCCUGUCCGACAGGACUGGGUAACCCGUUGAACCUCCUUCGUGCUGGGGAUAGGAACCUGUAAUUGUUUUCCUUGAACGAGGAACGCCUAGUAAGCGCGAGUCAUAAGCUCGUGCUGACUAUGUCCCUGCCCCUUGUGCACACCGCCCGUCGCCACUACCGAUUGAAUGAUUUAGUGAGGACAUCGGACUGGCGCUCGGACUGGCCUUUGGUCGGGCCGCGUGCCGGAAAGAUGUCCAAACUUGACCAUUUAGAGGAAGUGAAAGUCGUAACAAGGUUUCC
RNAcentral lists this ribosomal RNA (1397 nucleotides) under Mimetus sp. GH1079. RNAcentral's name for it is "SSU rRNA". It matches the Rfam family "Eukaryotic small subunit ribosomal RNA". Lineage: Eukaryota; Metazoa; Arthropoda; Arachnida; Araneae; Mimetidae. The record is from RNAcentral.